GACGAACGCUGGCGGCGUGCCUAAUACAUGCAAGUAGAACGCUGAAGGAGGAGCUUGCUCUUCUGGAUGAGUUGCGAACGGGUGAGUAACGCGUAGGUAACCUGCCUGGUAGCGGGGGAUAACUAUUGGAAACGAUAGCUAAUACCGCAUAAGAGUAGAUGUUGCAUGACAUUUGCUUAAAAGGUGCAAUUGCAUCACUACCAGAUGGACCUGCGUUGUAUUAGCUAGUUGGUGGGGUAACGGCUCACCAAGGCGACGAUACAUAGCCGACCUGAGAGGGUGAUCGGCCACACUGGGACUGAGACACGGCCCAGACUCCUACGGGAGGCAGCAGUAGGGAAGCUUCGGCAAUGGACGGAAGUCUGACCGAGCAACGCCGCGUGAGUGAAGAAGGUUGUCGGAUCGUAAAGCUCUGUUGUAAGAGAAGAACGAGUGUGAGAGUGGAAAGUUCACACUGUGACGGUAUCUUACCAGAAAGGGACGGCUAACUACGUG
This 495-nucleotide ribosomal RNA is filed under the name uncultured bacterium. RNAcentral describes it as "partial 16S ribosomal RNA". It matches the Rfam family "Bacterial small subunit ribosomal RNA", at positions 28 to 507 of the family's 1533-position model. The record is from RNAcentral.